This 91-nucleotide microRNA precursor is filed under the name Procavia capensis (Cape rock hyrax). RNAcentral describes it as "miRNA (ENSPCAG00000020669.1)". Lineage: Eukaryota; Metazoa; Chordata; Mammalia; Hyracoidea; Procaviidae. The record is from RNAcentral.
AUCACCUGGAGGUCUUGUUAAAAUAGAUUCCCAUUCAGAAGGUCAGGGGCAGGCCUGAGAUUCUGCAUUUCUAAGAAGCUCUUGGUGAUGC